UGAGAUUGUUUAUAUGCUAGAUAUUUUUCUUAGCUUUGUGUAUUUGGAAUUUUUCUAAAUAUAUAUGCAUAUAUUAUCAUAUACACAUGCAUCUACAUAAGUGUGUGUGUGUGUGUGUGUGUGUGUGUGUGUUGCUGGGGAUCAAACCCAGGGCUUAA
This 158-nucleotide small RNA is filed under the name Marmota monax (woodchuck). The record is from RNAcentral. Lineage: Eukaryota; Metazoa; Chordata; Mammalia; Rodentia; Sciuridae.